GGUGCCUCUAUAUUUAUAUCCUUGUCAUCAUUCCAACUGUUUUCUGAUUGGACAUCUAUUACAUGUAUGUGUAUACACUGUACAUAUAUCUUAUGUAUGUGUAAAGUACAUUACACACUUUACACAUGCUGUCCCUAACCCAAUGAGCAAACUGGUGUCACCAUAUUCAGAAGGAUUAAGCCAAUUGCCAAAGGACAAAGAUGGUGUGAAAAUACCCUUGAAACCUGAGCUUCCUUUACUGCAAGACCAGUUCUCUUUUCCAUAUGCCAGCCCCCGCCUCUCAGCCAUGCAUCUGAAGCCAGAAACUGUCUAUCACACCCAGGUAUCAGACAUAAGCCAUUUCAUACAUCUUCUCCUUUUCAAAACAGAAAUCAAACAAAUGGCACGUGCGGCUUUGGCUGGGUCAUUUCAGCAGUCAAUCGUCAAAUCAAGGAUACUCCACAAAUUCCACUGGAGACUUUGUCAGUUGCUCGAGUCCUUUGGUUUCCACGAAGGAAGACAUUUCAAAACUUCUAUUUCUUUCUGAGUUAACGACAACAAAAAAGGGGUAGCAGGUUUAAAAUGAACUGUGACGCUUUUGACCACUAGAUGGCAGAAGGAGACCAUGAACUAUAUAUCCAGAUGGCACAGCAGGGACUGACAAACUAGGGGAUGAGCUUCUGUGACCAGAAGUCAGUUCCUAGACACCUACCUCAUCCAUUGAAGAUUUUUUACAGUCGUCAUCAUCAUCAUCGUCAUCACUCUCAGUAUCAGCUUCCCCUGUCAAAUUUUAAUAACAGAUCAUGAAGUAAAAAAACAUUUACAAGUUUGAAGCACAUGUUAACAGGUGCAUUACAAAAAAUUUCCUUGGAAAUUGGCAUAA
Molecule: long non-coding RNA, 862 nt
Organism: Neofelis nebulosa (Clouded leopard)
Lineage: Eukaryota; Metazoa; Chordata; Mammalia; Carnivora; Felidae
Exons: 2
Source: RefSeq, a predicted model, not a curated record